RNAcentral lists this ribosomal RNA (746 nucleotides) under Salmonella enterica subsp. enterica serovar Ohio. RNAcentral describes it as "partial 23S ribosomal RNA". It matches the Rfam family "Bacterial large subunit ribosomal RNA", at positions 1 to 678 of the family's 2925-position model. Lineage: Bacteria; Pseudomonadati; Pseudomonadota; Gammaproteobacteria; Enterobacterales; Enterobacteriaceae. The record is from RNAcentral.
GGGUUGUGAGGUUAAGCGACUAAGCGUACACGGUGGAUGCCCUGGCAGUCAGAGGCGAUGAAGGGCGUGCUAAUCUGCGAUAAGCGCCGGUAAGGUGAUAUGAACCGUUAUAACCGGCGAUACCCGAAUGGGGAAACCCAGUGUGACUCGUCACACUAUCAUUAACUGAAUCCAUAGGUUAAUGAGGCGAACCGGGGGAACUGAAACAUCUAAGUACCCCGAGGAAAAGAAAUCAACCGAGAUUCCCCCAGUAGCGGCGAGCGAACGGGGAGGAGCCCAGAGCCUGAAUCAGCAUGUGUGUUAGUGGAAGCGUCUGGAAAGGCGCGCGAUACAGGGUGACAGCCCCGUACACAAAAGCGCAUGUGCUGUGAGCUCGAUGAGUAGGGCGGGACACGUGGUAUCCUGUCUGAAUAUGGGGGGACCAUCCUCCAAGGCUAAAUACUCCUGACUGACCGAUAGUGAACCAGUACCGUGAGGGAAAGGCGAAAAGAACCCCGGCGAGGGGAGUGAAAAAGAACCUGAAACCGUGUACGUACAAGCAGUGGGAGCCCCACCACCAAAGCAUUCUCUGGUGUUGAAGGCCCUGCAAAGCAGCAUCGCGGUGGCGGAGCGUCGUUUGCGACGCCCAACACACAAAACAAGCGGUGAGUGCUUUGGGGUGGGGUGACUGCGUACCUUUUGUAUAAUGGGUCAGCGACUUAUAUUCUGUAGCAAGGUUAACCGAAUAGGGGAGCCGGAGGGAAACC